RNAcentral lists this ribosomal RNA (463 nucleotides) under Burkholderiaceae bacterium oral taxon D14. RNAcentral's name for it is "bacterial SSU rRNA". It matches the Rfam family "Bacterial small subunit ribosomal RNA", at positions 30 to 487 of the family's 1533-position model. The record is from RNAcentral. Lineage: Bacteria; Pseudomonadati; Pseudomonadota; Betaproteobacteria; Burkholderiales; Burkholderiaceae.
AUUGAACGCUGGCGGCAUGCCUACACAUGCAAGUCGAACGGCAGCACGGAGCUUGCUCUGGUGGCGAGUGGCGAACGGGUGAGUAAUAUAUCGGAACGUACCCUAGAGUGGGGGAUAACGUAGCGAAAGUUACGCUAAUACCGCAUACGAUCUAAGGAUGAAAGUGGGGGAUCGCAAGACCUCAUGCUCGUGGAGCGGCCGAUAUCUGAUUAGCUAGUUGGUAGGGUAAAAGCCUACCAAGGCAUCGAUCAGUAGCUGGUCUGAGAGGACGACCAGCCACACUGGAACUGAGACACGGUCCAGACUCCUACGGGAGGCAGCAGUGGGGAAUUUUGGACAAUGGGCGAAAGCCUGAUCCAGCAAUGCCGCGUGAGUGAAGAAGGCCUUCGGGUUGUAAAGCUCUUUUGUCAGGGAAGAAACGGUGGGAGCUAAUAUCUCUUGCUAAUGACGGUACCUGAAGAAU